Molecule: ribosomal RNA, 492 nt
Filed under: uncultured bacterium
Lineage: Bacteria
Description: partial 16S ribosomal RNA
Rfam family: Bacterial small subunit ribosomal RNA
Source: RNAcentral
AGUGAACGCUGGCGGUAGGCCUAACACAUGCAAGUCGAACGGCAGCACAGUAAGUGCUUGCUCUUACGGGUGGCGAGUGGCGUACGGGUUAGGAAUACAUCGUAAUCUACUUUUUCGUUGUUGAUUACGUAGGGAAACUUACGCUAAUACCGCAUACGACCUACGUGUUCAAGCUGUUGAUCUUUUUACCUUUUGCGAUUCAAUGAGCCGAUUUCGGUUUAGCUAGUUGGGUGGGUAAAGGCCCACCAAGGCGACGAAUCGUAGCUGAUCUGAGAGGAUGAUCAGCAAAACUGGAAGUGAGACAAGGUGAAGAAACAUACGGGAGGCAGCAGUGGGGAAUAUAAGAAAAUGGGCGGAAGGAUGAUAAAGCAAUACAGGGUGGGUGAAGAAGGACUACGGGUUGUAAAGCCCUUUUGUUGGGAAAGAAAAGAAGCAGGUUAAUACCACGAUGUAGUGACGGUACCCAAAGAAUAAGCACCGGCUAACUACGUG